Molecule: long non-coding RNA, 868 nt
Organism: Mustela erminea (ermine)
Lineage: Eukaryota; Metazoa; Chordata; Mammalia; Carnivora; Mustelidae
Exons: 4
Source: RefSeq, a predicted model, not a curated record
CAGGUGCGCUCGUCCCAGCCCCGGCGCCCCCGGCCGCCCCUCCCAGCCCCCGGCCCGGGCCACCGCCCCCGCUCCUGCUCUCGCUCCUGCUCCCGCACUGGGCGGGGCCGCCUCGGGCGCUGCGGAGGGAGCCCCGCGCUCGUCUAUGGCAAAGUUCCUGGCCGAGCUCCUGGGCUGCGCGCUGCCGGCCAAGGGCGCCUCUCCCGCGCCGGAGCCAACAGACGCCCGACCUUGAUUUCUUAGAGCAAGUGGCUCUCCACCAUUGCUGGUCAGAGGGCAGCUUAAGAAAUAGUCAGAGAUACACCACGACAAUUAAGAAAACGAGUGACUGUUUUGUCUUUGAAGAGCUCCUGGGAAAGGGAAUUCCUUCAGCCUCUCCCUCGUGACUCCGUGUGUCUUGCUUUGUGUCAUUUUCUACCCAUGUGGGGGCAGGAGCCUCUGAAGUCUCUGUCUCUCCUCUCUAAAGAUGACUGAUUCGGCGUUGCUGAACCCCCACCAGACUCAUGUUAUAAUAUUCCAGAACCUUCCCAAAUUCGAAAAAAUGCUUCUUAUUGAAAUCAGAGUUCAAUGACUUCAUGCCAGGUGGUUAGGAGAAGAGUUUCCAAAGAAUCUUCUGGCACAGUGCUCAGAAUGGUGGGCUUCCUUUCUGCCAGUAAAUGGUCACGGAUUUCAGCUUUCACUGUGACGUUUGGAAACCACGUCUUCCAUAGUACGCGUGCCACACAACGAAAACAGCCGCCCUGCUCCCACGGUGAGAAAAUGUAAAUAAAAUAGGAGUCCUGUAAGUAUGUGGAGGCCAAAUCUUAAAACAAAGGUGUGUUUGGGGGCGUCCUAAUUAUUUUAGUGGAGCCCAUUUUAUGAUUUUCCA